Molecule: ribosomal RNA, 424 nt
Filed under: uncultured microorganism
Description: bacterial SSU rRNA
Rfam family: Bacterial small subunit ribosomal RNA
Source: RNAcentral
GAGUUUGAUCGUGGCUCAGGAUGAACGCUGGCGGCGUGCCUAAUACAUGCAAGUCGAGCGAACAGACGAGGAGCUUGCUCCUCUGACGUUAGCGGCGGACGGGUGAGUAACACGUGGAUAACCUACCUAUAAGACUGGGAUAACUUCGGGAAACCGGAGCUAAUACCGAAUAAUAUAUUGAACCGCAUGGUUCAAUAGUGAAAAACGGUUUUGCUGUCACUUAUAGAUGGAUCCGCGCCGCAUUAGCUAGUUGGUAGGGUAACGGCUUACCAAGGCGACGAUGCGUAGCCGACCUGAGAGGGUGAUCGGCCACACUGGAACUGAGACACGGUCCAGACUCCUACGGAGGCAGCAGUAGGAAUCUUCCGCAAUGGGCGAAAGCCUGACGGAGCAACGCCGCGUGAGUGAUGAAGGUCUUCGGAUC